Molecule: long non-coding RNA, 2456 nt
Organism: Ailuropoda melanoleuca (giant panda)
Lineage: Eukaryota; Metazoa; Chordata; Mammalia; Carnivora; Ursidae
Exons: 13
Source: RefSeq, a predicted model, not a curated record
UCCUUAUUUAGGGAGUGGGGGUGUAACCAUGAGGGGCUCAAAAGGAACCAGUUGGCACACUCAAAUUAGGAUCAUUCCCGGAGUUUUUAAUAACGGGGUUGUUUACAAAUAUGUGGGCAGGGUGUAAAGAAACUACAAGGAAUUACACAGAACCCCUGGGACUCUGUGCCCACCCAGGCCUGCAGGGGAGAGAGAAGGAGUGGUUAACAGAGCAGGGAUAGAGGCUGUAGGAAGAGGGCCCUCUGAACGGAGCUCAGACCCGGGGCCCAGGAAAAUUGGAUCUGCAAGGCCAAGACAAAGGUUCCUGGCACUGCAAAGGACCUUGUUUCCUCUUCUCACAAUUUCAGAGGUCUGGAACUUCCAAUCCUCCACCCGGCAGCCAGAUGGAUCUAUCAGGAAUGAAGUAUCUUCACUCUUUUGAUUAAACCUCCCUAUCUCAUCCUAGUGCCCUCAGGAUAAAACCUAGACUCCAUAGUUUGGCAGCAGGUAGAAAGCAAUUUUCCCAGGAUUGAGAGGGGCAACUUGGAGACAACUCUGAAUUGCUUGCUAAACUAGCCAGCAGAAUGCACGGAAAACAGCUGAGAAUGUUAACGGAGUCUUUGAAGCAACGCCGCAAAGAAUAUUGUUUAUUUAGGAUCACAGCCCCCCUUACAGGUGAGGACACGAGACCCGGAAAGUGUAAACAACAUACCGAACAAAGGCAACCCAGCCUAUAAGAGAACUAACAGGAGGAGAAACUGACCUGGCUGGUUUGGUAACAAGUCCAAAGAACACAGUGUCCUCUGGAUGCUGACAGCUGCUGGAAUACAUCUGUUCUUCCUGACGGUCAGGCCGACCCUCUUUGGCCAGUUGACUCCUGGCAAGCGGAGAAGGUCAACAGCAUUUAUGGAAAGCCCACUCCAUCCUUGACAGUGAGAUGUGCCGAGUCCCCAUAUCGUGUUCGUCCGCAUCCUCAACGCACUCUGCACACUUGGGAGUGAUAGUUCUAAAAUGAAAAGAUGGCAGCUGAUACAGAGAAGCAACCGGAUCCAGGCAACCGAACGGGUUUUGAGGCAAUGCCAGAUCUCAUCUGGGAGGGAAGCAGAGAAAAUUUACCAUAAGGAAAAAAGAAGAAGAAGAAGAAGAAACAAGAAAGAAGGAAAUCAAACUGCCUGCUUUUGUCACCAUGGAGAAUGUUUGCGGCGGGUCUGACUAUCCACUUCCUAGGUCAAGCUAUGUCCACUGCACACUGUUGAUGGAACCAUUAACACGCCACCAUUAGGAGCUGGUCACAAAACCUUCCUAUGCUUUGGGGAAAACACCAGGACUUGACCUCCGGCCUUGGUGUGAAAUGAGAGGGUGCCCACGACGCGCUUAACAGGCUGCUUUGCAGGCCGUGCUGCUUCUGCUUGAGACCAUCUGGUGACUCAGGGAGGGGUGUUCCAGCUGUGAGAGCCAUUUUCUCUCUUUCAGAUGACUCUGGGUAUUCCUGUUCUGGUCAGGGUUCAGAAGCGUCUGGAUUGGUGAGCACAUCCACAUGCGGAGAGGCUGACACACCCAACUGCAGAGGAUAGAAGCUUCUGUGCCUGGCACCUUUCUGGACCUCACCCUAUGUACCUCUUCACCUGGCUGUUCAUUUCAACUCUCUUGGCAUCAGAAUUGAAUGAAAUCGCAGGACACUCGGUGGGCGCAUGGAGAACUGGAGAACUGGUUGAUGUGACAAUCCCUCCCUUCACAUUUGGCAUCAGAAGUGCGCUGAGGAAAUUGAAGACCAAAGAGACUACACAAUAUCUGCAAAUUGAAUCUCCUUGCACCCAAACCCUCUGUUUUCUAAGGAAUUUCCCAGAUGUUUAGGAAGACUGUCUUGUUUUUCAGGGUCCACUUCUCUAGCAGAGAAAGCACACCCAAUUUGUUCAUACUUGCGGAUGCCACAGGAGUGACCCUACAAUUCAAUCUGGUGCAGUGACCGUGGGAUACCGACAAAGUCUGAUUGGUCACCCCGUGUGCUUCUGAGCUCCGACAAGCAGCAGUUCAUCAUUUCUAUAGAGCAAAGCUUGAGUUGUCAAAUAAACUGAAAUUCUUCAUAAGAUAAUACUGAAGGGUUUCCUUGACUGCACGUUCUGGAGAACUUCAGUACAUCCACUGUUUCCUGAUGGCUCAUGAUAGUCACUCACCUUGAUAAGGUUUGUGUACAACAGGAUCAAAUAAAAUCACGUAUCCAAGGGUGUUUUACAAACUGUACGGUGCUGUACUAACGAUAAUGAUAUCAAAAUAUCAUAUGCGGUGUGAGGACUACGUUUAUGCAGAAGUGGAUCGGAUGCUUCUCAUAAUGUUCUUGUGUCAUGGCUGAGGAGACAUGUCUGCACUUUGGAUGGGGGAAGGGCAAACGCUGCGGUUGACAACAUGGUUGGUCCUGCCUGCUGUCAAGAGCCCACCAAGGAAGGAGCCUGUAAAGCCUCUGGCUGCCUUUAUCUGUC